RNAcentral lists this ribosomal RNA (522 nucleotides) under Echidna nebulosa (snowflake moray). RNAcentral describes it as "partial 16S rRNA". It matches the Rfam family "Bacterial large subunit ribosomal RNA", at positions 1917 to 2588 of the family's 2925-position model. Lineage: Eukaryota; Metazoa; Chordata; Actinopteri; Anguilliformes; Muraenidae. The record is from RNAcentral.
GCAAUGUUUAACGGCCGCGGUAUUUUAACCGCGCGAAGGUAGCGUAAUCACUUGUCUUUUAAAUGGAGACCUGUAUGAAUGGCAUAACGAGGGUUUAUCUGUCUCCUCCCCCCAGUCAAUGAAAUUGAUCUGCCCGUGCAGAAGCGGGCAUCUCCGCAUAAGACGAGAAGACCCUAUGGAGCUUUAGGCAAAUGAUCAAGCGCACCAAAACCUACUUUCAACCAAACCUUAGGGAAAUAUAAAACCAAUGAUCAAGAUGCCUUCGGUUGGGGCGACCUUGGAGGAGAAACAAGCCUCCAAGUGGAACGGGAAAACCCUUUAACUAAGAAGAACAACUCGAAGUACCAGAAAUUCUGACCAAACAUGACCCAGGUUACACCUGAUCAACGAACUAAGUUACCCUAGGGAUAACAGCGCAAUCCCCUCCCAGAGUCCAUAUCGACGAGGGGGUUUACGACCUCGAUGUUGGAUCAGGACAUCCUAAUGGUGCAGCCGCUAUUAAGGGCUCGUUUGUUCAACGAU